Amborella trichopoda is the source of this 83-nucleotide non-coding RNA. The record is from Rfam. Lineage: Eukaryota; Viridiplantae; Streptophyta; Magnoliopsida; Amborellales; Amborellaceae.
GGGAGAGUGGCCAAGUGGUCAAAAACGACAGACUGUAAAUCUGUUGAAGAUUUUCUACGUAGGUUUGAAUCCUGCCUCUCCCA